CAUAGUUUAUUAAAAUAAGUAUUUUAAGUUUCCUAUGUUUUAGUAGCAUAACCUGAAGAUGAUGCAUGUAUAUAUUGGUCAUAGUACAGUAAUUUAAACAACAAAACCAGUUUUCCAUAUCUGUAAACGAUGUACAUGAAGUCAUCAUUUGUUUUAAAUGUUAAAUUUAUAUUCAAAGUUCUUUAAUAGAACUUCACCAAUAAUGUGCGCCUUUAUCAAUUUCUCAGAUGACAAAUCUUGAGUACUUGUAAGCAAAAAAUUAACUAAUUUGGCAUAACAUUUGAUAUAAGCAGUUUGUGUAUUAUUUCUCGAGGAUUUUGUAUAAUGGGAGCAGUAAUCUUGGUAAUAAUCAGUUAAGUGGACAAUUGAGCGGUCAUUUCAACAGCUGCCUAUAUUGAUAGAGCUGUAUGUACCAUUUAGAAUCACUUUGUUUCCAGUUACUUAGAUAUGUUCUCUGAUUUUACUCAAUAGCAGACAAUUUGCCUAAGAGUUUCUGAAAGGUCUCAAGCCUCACUGCAUUGAAUUUGCAAAAGAUUAAAUUCAAUGAUAAAAUCGAUGCCUUCCGUUGGAUGAUUUGUCUGUCAAUCUUCUGUACCAAAAUUUAUCUAGUGUCUAUAUUUUCAAGUAUUAUAUUAAGUUCCAUUAACAAUUAAUUACUAGUGAAGUGCAAUUUACUGAUCCAUUUAUAAUUUUAUGACUAAAUCUGUUAUGUAUAGUGUGGUCACUAUUUUUUACAUGUUGUAGUCAUAUCAUGCUGUACGCCAUGGCAUGUUCUCGUGUCCCAUCUUUUCAAGAGAAUGUUUGGUAUAUCUGGUAAAUCUCAAUAUAUUUAGUGUGCAGUGUGUUCUGCCGACUCUUAUUUUGUUUCACUC
Long non-coding RNA from Ziziphus jujuba (common jujube), 872 nucleotides. RefSeq lists it as uncharacterized. Lineage: Eukaryota; Viridiplantae; Streptophyta; Magnoliopsida; Rosales; Rhamnaceae. The transcript is spliced from 2 exons. The record is from RefSeq and is a predicted model, not a curated record.